GCCACGCGCCCCCUUGCUUCUCUCUUCCCCUGCGUCGUUCUCUCUCCCGGUGCUCUAUUGGCCGGCGAUUCCUCCAGCUUGUCCCAGCUCGCCUAGCUCGGAUCUCUUCCUGCCGACGCUCUUCCUGGGAGCUUCCCUCAGCUCGCUCCUCCCAUGGCCGCGCCCUGGGAUUUGCCCGGAGCUCUCUCUGCUCAUCCUCAAGCCGCUCCUCCUCUCUCUCCCAUGGCGCUCGGUGCUCCUCUGCUCGGUUUUCCCUGCAUCGCGCACGUUCCGCCAUCUCCCUCCUGGCCAUCGCGUCCCUCUCUGCUCGCCAGCCGAAGCUCCUUGGCGCGUUCGCCCAGCGCGCCGUCUCAGCUCCAUCUCCUGCUCGGCCGCCGUUUCCCAUGCUCGCUGCGCUGCUCCAUCUCUGCCCUCUGCUCGACGUUUCCUCGGCGCUGGAUUUUUUCUACGCUCCCUGCUCUAUCUCUGUUGCCGCGCGAGCUCGCCCUGGCUCGGAUCCAACGCCCGACGCCCAGCUCCGACCUCCCUCCCUGGCUUUCCCCGAGCUCGCGGUCAACCUGCUCGUUGGUCCCUCAUCACCCAUCCUUUUGUACCAGCCGUCAAUUUUCUAUUCACCACAACGCCGUCAUCCCCUGCCGUGCCCCAGAUGUCGUGCUUGUUGUGGUUGGCUCUGGUGGUCGGCAUCGUCGACCGUCAAUUCCGUCAAUAGCCACAUUCAUUCGUUAUUGUUCUGUACUCCGCGAGAAAGAAAUCUAGGGAAUUUGGAUAAAGAAAAAGCGAACCCCAUCCGUUGCUUCCAUGGUGUGCUGAGAAAUGCUCCCACCGGACAUCGCCGUCAAUCUCACGAAUUCAGAUCGGGUUUAGGUACGAUAAUUAAUCGCGUGAUGCGGAAGACGAGCCAAGUCGACCCCAAGCACGGGCUACUCCGCACGGUGAUGCUGAUGGACAAACCUGCCUGAUCAAGUGCUAGGACAAGGAUGAUCGUCAAGUGGACGUCACCUAACAAACACUAACCUAGUGUUACCCAGGCAAGCCCCGGUGCAUUUGCCACCUCCUUGCUGUUUUAAAAUCUUUAUCACCUUGUGUGAUUCAUUAGGUGAUAGGAGUUGUGUGCCAAACAAAUGCUGCAU
This 1130-nucleotide unclassified non-coding RNA is filed under the name Zea mays. RNAcentral's name for it is "misc RNA Zm00001eb025250". The record is from RNAcentral. Lineage: Eukaryota; Viridiplantae; Streptophyta; Magnoliopsida; Poales; Poaceae.